RNA transcript from Alexandromys fortis (reed vole), 6835 nucleotides. It is a transcript of the gene named LEM domain containing 1, with no coding region annotated. The record is from RefSeq and is a predicted model, not a curated record. NCBI's taxonomy places the organism in Eukaryota, Metazoa, Chordata, Mammalia, Rodentia, Cricetidae. The transcript has 10 exons.
CUUUGGAAGAGCAGGCAAUGCUCUUAACCUCUGAGCCAUCUCCCCAGCCCCCUGCACUUGCUUUCUUAAAACCACAUUUGCUGUUGCGUUUAUACAGUGGCCUUUAAGUGACUUUCUCUUUUGUUUCACAUGUAUUUGUUGGGAUUUUCCCCCCUCCCCAUAUCUCUUAGUGAAACGUCCCCUCCUGGCCUUCACCAUUCUGGUCCGCCAUGUUUUUAUUCCCUUUCCCUGGUCCAGGUAGCUCCCUGGGAGCAGAGACUCCACCUUAUUCCCCAUCUCUUCUUCCACACCAUGAUGCCAGGGGCUUAGGCUGCCUGCAGGCAGGAGUCUGUCACCAUAGAGGCCCCUGCCACCACACAGUCCCUCCAGCAGUCUCCUGGUCUGUCCAAGGUGAAGUUCUGUGGCAUCAACCCCUCUUCCCGCACUCCUUUGCCCAGGUGACGGGGCUCCAAGGCUAUUAGAUAAUUUUAAUAUCAGCCUAAGAAAGAUUAAUUAGGAAGGCACAUUUUUAGUUUUUUUUUUUUUUCUCUUUUGAAACAGGGUUUCUCUGUGGCUUUGGAGCCUGUCCUGGAACUAGCUCUGUAGACCAGGCUGGUCUCGAACUCACAGAGAUCCACCUGCCUCUGCCUCCCUAGUGCUGGGAUUAAAGGCGUGCGCCACCACCGCCCGGCAAGGAAGGCACAUUUUUAAAAGGUGCCAUUAAUCCCAGAGACAAAUAAGAGAGACUGUGGAUUAUCUGUGUCACUGCAGCCUUCAGGUAGGGUAUAGACUCGUGCAGAUUUACUUUUGAGGCGUAGGCCUGUCUGAACACACUGAGUGUACUCCUUUCUGAGACAAGGGACAGGAAGAAGUGGAGUCUCUCUGAGGGAGCAGAAGAGACGUUCCGUGCGGGUGUCCUUUCCGGGCUGCCAUGUAGCCCCUCAGGUAGCUUCUAGACUUUUUUCAGCUGCACACCCUUCACUCUUUCUCACCCUGUUUAAUCUACCCGGGACGUUAGAGCACAUCCCACUUAGGAACUUCUAAAUGUGCCUGGGGAAAGGCCAAGCCCCUCAAUGUAGCCCACAAGAACCCCGCAGUUGGGCCCCACAUGGUCUGGCUGGUUUUCCUUCUCAUUCAGGCUCUCGUGGCUGUCUCCCAAGCUCCUGUGACAAAGCAGAGUUUCUGGAAGUCUCAGGCUGAAUGACACUUUGGGGGCUUUCCUGUUGACACUUACCUUCUUCUCUUUUAAUGAUCUGUAUUCUUCUUCUCCUAACAGAGAUGCCGAGCUCUUCAACGGUACUCUUGCAUUUCAUUUAUUUAUUUAUUUUUUUGUCUCCUUUCCCCUUCCUUGACUUAAGCCAAGCGCCGCACCGGCUCUGCUACCAGAGACGAUCGAUAACUUGUUGAGAGAAAUUCGUCAGUUCUGGCUUUCCAAGGUGAUGACAGUGGGCUUUGCUUACUGAGACCCAAGCUCCCCCAGCCUCCACGGAGGAGUGAUGGAUCUAGCUAGGAAUACCUGAGGGCUUGGCUGCUGUAACCCGGUCCCCUGGCUGCGGCUCUGUGGCAGGUGGCUUCAGGGGACAGAGCUGAGUUGGUGAAUGACUCAACCUGAGACUGACAGCUGCUGCUCUCUGCCUCGGCUGAUUUUCCCCUUUGCAAACGGUUAUUGGCAAUUGAAACCGCAAAUCUACUUGCUGCUCCCCUACGUAAAUUACAUUUACAUUUAAAUUGUGUAUUCUUCCCAAGAAGGAGGGGAGUAAAUAAGAGGCAGAUUAGGCUUGAGGAGAGGAAAUUGUGCCCCAUAUCAAAUCUGAGACUGAAGUGACAUCUGGCUUUUACUAUUUCCAUUAUUUUGGUUUAAUAACAGCAUGUGGCAUUAAGGGAGGAGAAAAUUGGAUCUACAUUUUAAUAAAAGGAGGAAACUCAGGAUUUAGAUACCUUAUCGAAUUGAAUACCUAGUCGAUUGGCAAUUAAACUCGCCUCAAAAAUGGGAUAAAAUGUCGUCACAGCUUUGGAGAGAAUGAAAACAAAACAAGCCAGUGCCCAGAACCACAAGGCUAAGACUGACAGGAAGGCUGGGCGCAUUGGCACCAACUGUUUCAGGACUUCACCGGGCACGGGGAUUCUCAGACGGAGCAGGGCUGACAAUGGCACCAUGCAUAUGCAUGAGGGGGAGCUUCACGAGCAUGGUCUGUCUGAAGACAAGCACACAAAACAGGGAGCUCACGCCAGAGAUGGUGUCUGGAGUCGGCUGAGUUUAACCCUACGGGUUUCCAGUUCCGGGGGUCUGACCACGAACACGUCUCACAAACGUCUGUCUCCUUCCAACGGUCUCGCGGUUGAAAACGGAAGUGCUUCCACUUGCUGCCCGAUUUUUGUUGAAAGCAAUUUUGGGCCAUGUAAACAAAAUGCUUCCGCAUCUUAAUAAGUCAAGCCUAUCGUUUAUUUGCUUUCAUUGAAACAAAUGUGUCAAUUUUCCAAGUCUUUGUCUGGUGAAGUCAGUGUUUGGAUGUUGAUAAAUGAUCACAUCGUGUGUUUGGAAGCUGGGGCUCUAUUCAGAACGUAGGAGUUGGGAGCACUCACGGUCUGGGAGCACUCAGACCGCCUUCCUAGCCGUCCACCCCAAGAUGCUCCGCUCUUUCCCAGGGCCUGGAAAAGGCUGAAAUUAUAGGACUACAAUUGAAGGGUAAAGGGGGUGGAUCCUCCAGGCGGAAACUCUGAGGCCAGGGCUCAGAAAUAAUUAAAAUAAUGGAAACCCAUAGGAUUUCCUGGGUGCCAAGUACUUUAUGUGUUUUAAUUCACGAAGGCCUCAUGCCCGUCUCAUGGGGGAAAGUUCCAGCUGUCAUUGGCACUGCAGAUAAAGGGAGAACUCAGUCAUAUGCAGAUGGUGAGGGAUGGAGCUGGGGUUCGAGUCUAGACAGGCCGUUCCUCUGUUUUUUUUUUUUUUAAACCCUUUCAGAUGGCUCCCUUUUCCCUGGAGUUUAAGGAGCACAUUGUGUUUUCUCAGUUACAUUUUGUCUCACAUAAUUGUUUUGAAAGCCACAGCAGUUUUGCUUGAAAGACUCCAGCUACUAGUAUGACGGCUCUUUCCCUAAAAUAAAGCAACAGUAAGACCUAGGUUUUGCAAUGUAAUGAUAUGGCUCAGCUGCCUUGUGGGGAUCCGGAGAAUGGAAUGAGACAUGAACGUGUUUUAAAGAGGUCUAAACCAUGAGACUUCGGUACGCUCAGAACAUACCCUCCAUCCCCAGUCUUCCUUUUUCUUUCUUCUAUUAAAAAAAAAUCUAUUGCACAUGUAUGUGUGAUAUGUUUGGACAGUCGCAUGCCAUAGUGUGGGUGUGGUGUGGAGGUUGGAGGAUGGGCAAUUUCCAGGUCUCCUAGGAAUGGAAGUCAAGCCAUUAGGCUUAGUGGCAAGUGACUUUACUUGUUGAGCCCUCUUGCCAGCCCUGAUUCUUUUUUUUUAUUCUUUUUAAAGUUUAUUUAUGUCUAUAUUUUUUAAUGUUAAGAGUGCUCUGUCAGCAUGUACACCUGCAUGCCUCAAGGGGGCAGCAAAUCCCUUUACAGAUGGUUGUGAGUCACCGCUUGUGUUGCUGGGAAUUGAGCACAGGACCUCUGGAAGAGCAGUGCUCUUAGCUGCUAUGCCAUCUCUCCAGCCCCUGUUUUUUGUUUGUUUUGUUUUUCAAGACAGGGUUUCUCUGUGUAGCCCUGGCUCUUUUGGAACUCACUCUGUAGACUAGGUUGACCUCGAAUUCACAGAGGUCCGCCUGCCUCUGCCUCCCGAGUGCUGGGAUUAAAGGCGUGCACCACCAUAAAAAUCCUUCACGUGGACCGAUAUCUCUUCCACUUUCUGGUUUCCCUGUGAGUCUUUUGAUGGUGGCCCGGAUGCUGGCAUUUGCUUGACUUCUCGUUUCUCCUCCCAUGUUUCUUGGCACCAUUUAGUCACGUGCAGUUCCUUCCUCCUGUGCGCCAUAGUGACUGUAGCCUCUUCAGAUCUUGCGCCACGGCACUCCACCUCUGAAGCUAGCCAGUGCCUCCCUCUGUUUGAACUCAGCUUAAGUCCUUCACCUAAUUUCCCCAUCAGUGUUGCUGGGCCGGAGGGAGGUCGCUGAUGUCACACUGUCAGUAUUGUGAUUACCCUCAUAUCUAACAGGCAAGGAAGGGACAGUUGUUCCUGGCAACCCUUGGGUGAGUCUCACACAGCUUAGGUAACCGACUCGCUGCCUGGCUGCAUAGACUUCCCACAACCAUGUGAAGGGGAGUCCGCUGUCAGAGAGGAGGCCAGCAUCUAUCAGUAUGGUGGAUGUGCAGUGUCUGAGUGACUGUGAUCUGCACAAGCAACUGGAGAAGCUUGGAUUUUCAGCGGGCCCAAUACUGCCUUCCACCAGAAAAGCAUACGAGAAAAAGUUGGUGCAAUUGUUGGUCUCGCCUCCCUGUGAACAACCUGCCAUGAAGAGACCCAAAAAACUGCACGGAUCUGACCACAGCGAUGGCAGUGAAGAUCCAGCGGUAAAUAUCGUUUUGAAAGGAAAUUUCAAUUUCUCGAAAGACAAAGGCAAGGAAUGCAAAAAUAAACCAGUCAAUGAAACGAAAUGGCAGCAGGCAGACAUGGGGGAGCCAAACUCUGACUGUAAAAACUGGAAGGUGCUAAUUAAGAGACGAGACGCUUCUAGUGAUAAAAGAAAAAUCCUAGACAUCUACUACCUGAGCCAGAAGCCCACAAAGGUGGUCAGGCAUGCUGCGAGACCAAACCCAAGGAUGGAGGAUGGCUGUGCCACCGAAGAGGACUGCUGCCAGGGGAACCCGAGCCUGGAGAGCAGCUUCCCAUGGAGCUUGAAGCUGGCCAUCUUUGGCAUUUUCAUCAUUGUGUUGUUUGUCUACAUAACUGUGGAAAAGAAGCCGCUCUUGCGUUAAACCCUUUAGGAGCAAAGCAGAGAAGGGCCUUAGCUACAGCCAGGCAGCCCCUCCCACUGCCCCAAAUGUCCCCGCCCCUGCCUCAGACGCCCCCGCCCUAUACUGGCUCUCCUGGGCUGUGUCUGGGUUCAUCUAGGUGGAGGAGCAAGGGCAGAACCAGGCAGCAUGCUAGGUGCACGACAGUCUGUAAGUCAAGAAAGCCAUCAUUAAAGGUGCUAACACAUCAGAGCGCUCUUCUGUCAAGGAAACUGCCCGGGUCUGCUCCCUCCCUCCCUCCUUCCUCUGUUUUGUUCCUGCCCUCUUUUCCCCCAAAACAAAGAGGCUUCACAUUCUUAUACCAGUCCACUUGCUAGUGCAGAACGUGAAACAAAGAGAAAAUUAUAUUCCUGAUAAAAUGUGUGCAGUUAGCCAGACGUGGUGACAUUUCCAGUUUGGCCUGGCGCUGACAGUGACCUUGAUAGAGCACGAAUCUGUUCCUCCUCCGCUGCAGCCCCCCAGCCUCAGACGGGGCUUCUUCUCCACUGACUUUGUCUCUGGUUUUCAUCAGAACCAUUUGGGGAAGAGGAGGAGUUUUCCGUUUUCUGUUGGGGCUCGGUGACUUUUCCUGGGAAGAUGGAAAUAAUGUCUGCUUGCCCCAGAGAGGGGAGAGGGGACUGACCAAAGAAAAAUAAACAAGUGUAGGAAUCCAGUCUAGCUUGGCGACCCUACGAGUUUAUUGUGGUUAUUGCGGGACUUUCUGCAUGGGGUGGUACUGCCCACACUGUGUUGUCAGCCAUUAACCAAGAAAACAUCCCACAGACAAGCCCACGGGCCAACUGAUGGAGGCGGUUCUUCAAUAGAGGGUUCUGCUUCACAGUCCCCCUCCCUCUUCAGCCCAAAGAGCAAUCAGGGUUCCCUGCCCUGUGGGAAGUCCAAGGACCACCCACCUCCAUCCAGGUCUAGUAAGUAAAUAGGACCUUACUCAGACGGAUCAGCUGCAGAAGAUACUGUCGUCAUCCACGAGCUAGCGACUUCUGAGCUACCUGGAGAGAAACCCCAGGUAGACGAGAGGAAAGCUCUUCCGAGGCCGGCCUCUAGAAGCUUGUGUCUCCUCGGCCCUGGGCAGCAGCCGGUGUUACAGCUCAAAGACCCUCAGCUCCCAAGACUUCACAGCUCUCUGGGACUCCUGUGGCCAGAGCCCUCAGGCUCGCCUCUCGGGCUCCUUACAGCUUCAGUCAGCUCCCUGCUUUCUUGUCAUCUCUCUUCUGCUCCCCUUUUCUUUUCUUGGUCACUGCUGGACUUUCAGCCGCUCCUUCAGUUGUCCAUGGCUGCCAGCAGGACGGAUAACUCAGUACACGCCUUCCUUAGGACAGCAUUUGGAAGCCAGAUACCUAGGCGGUCAUUCAGUAACUGGGCCUCAGUGUAGCUAGGGUCACUCCGACCUGGAUAUCCCUGAGGUGGGAUGCCUUUGAGCAGAUGGGCUCUGUGGGUAGACCAGCAGGCGGUCCCAGGCCACAUUGCCAUACCAGAACCACCUGAUGGGUCCUAGACCUCUGCAGACGAGCACUGCUUCAGCUGCCAAGCAGUCCCAUCAAGGUCUUCCCCAGCUCUUCUUUCUCGAUCAAGUGGGCAUUUUGGGCUGUGACGUCAGGGCACACCGAGCUCCAGAGCCAGGUUCUUGUGGUAAGUAAGCUGGUUGUUGCCAAGCCUCGUGGUUGGUAUCAGAAACAGCUGCUAGCCACUAAGGCUGCCUCUGAGGCUACCAGAUGUGGUCAAGCUGUUCAGCAGCUGCAGCUGGAAGCCUGGGACUCGGGGGCAGUGCCAGACACUGCUGUUUUUCCUAAUUUAACUUUUGACUCUGGAUUUCAUGUCAUGCAUCUCGGUCCCAUGCCUCAUCUCCCCAUUCCUUUGUAUCCGCCCUCUGCCCUUGUAACCUUGCCGUACAGGAUAAAAUAAAAUUUAAAAGAAA